UGGAUGGCAAACACAGCAUAACAUACAAAUUCAUUGAACGUGACAGUACUCAAUUCAGAAUUAUUUUUCCAUUUGAUGUUAACAAAUAAAUAAAAAAUACAAAAUCUAGAAUUGAUGUUCUCAUUCAUUCUAUUGUUGUACAGUGAGGAUUCUGUCAAUGUAGUUUUGCUUUUGGAAUCAAACAACUACUAGUUAUGUGUAUAUGUAUGUGGUGCGCUUCUAACCUAUACCCUCGUUUCGAUGCGGAAAUCAACGUGACCUGGCACGAGAUAAAAAUCAAAAGAAGCAGGCUGAACAGACAAAAGGCAAAAUAACUGAUGGAAUGGCAGUGGAACAAUUUAAAUCCAAGAAAAAGGGAUAUCACAAGAACUGCAAAAAAUGUAUAAUGUCAUCUGAUAAUUUAGGGACGUUGAAUUAUGCCAGAAAAACAGAAGAAAAAGGAUAAAUAGUCUGUUGAUACUGCUGGACGGAGCAAAUAAAAACGCUUACAUGUAGAGAGGGCAGAGAUUAACGUACUGUCUUGCUUGGAGAGAAAACAUAUGAGAUCAAGCGCAAAACUUGGAGCAAAAAUCACAAUCUGGGAGUGGUAUCUAUUCUUCUGGAUAUUAAAUUUUUAAUCACAAAUAAGUAGCUAAUAAGCUGCCAAAUAGCAACAUCUAAACACUCAUCUCACAAGAAUCUUGACAGAGCCGCUCGUCUUCACCAUGCUUGGCAUGCUUUCCAAGGACAGUAAAAGCCGGAGAGCGGUCCCAAAGUCAAAUUUGCAGCAAGCGUAGGCCCAUAGGAACAUGCCUUUACUCUUUCAAUAAGAAUUGGCUUGACCUCGGACAUUGGCUUUUGUCCAAGUACUGUAUACGCAGAAACGCAGAGACAUGGAUUUUUAAAUAAUGUAAUGGAAAAUACAUUAUCAGAUUGGAAAUUAACGUAUGUUCAAUAAAAAUAGUCCUUUUUGGGUGUACACCUGGUUCGAGUUCCGGUCAACGCGUUCACAUCAUUUGGUUUUCACUCUUUCUACUCAUAAAGGUGACAGCUUUGCACAUUAUAUAGAUGUAACAAUAAAUACAUACUCUGCAUAAUAACUGUUGGUUGAAUUCGGAUGUUCUUGUACAAGUUGGACUCAAAGUUUGAUAUGAAUUUGCAUUCGAUUCUGGGCGUUCAUGGUCGGGGAUUUAUGGUUAAUUCAUUCAAUCGUUAAUCUCGGCAAGUUUAUUACAAAACCGGAUUGCCUGACUACUGGAUUGCUCGUCCGUUCCUAAAAUGAACGGCGGUCGCCUGGCCAGUAACUAGCAUAUUGAUGAGGCCCCCAUACUUUCUUGAAUCGUUCUCAGACGCAUCAUGAUGUGCGCCAAUAUCGAUGAUAGAUAGUGAUUAUGUGUUCCGUGUUAAACUUAACGAGCAAAAUCAAUUGAUCAUCGAAUGCACUAAACAAAGACUCAAAACCUUGUUCGACAAAAUUCAAAUUUAAGGACUUUUUAGUAAGCCCCUAAAUCGCAUGCCCUACUACGCGUUAUGUGAGUUGGAAAUGAGAAUGUUGAACUAGUUGAACUACGACAAUGGUUGUAGAUAACUUAUCUAACAUAUGUAUGUAGGUGUAAAUAAAAAAUAAUAUACGUUAACCGAAUACAAUAACAAAAAAGUAAAAUUAACUUGAAAACUUAGUUCUGAGUACAUGUAGUUUACCGGUCAACCUCCACACAACAUAACCCAA
Molecule: long non-coding RNA, 1708 nt
Organism: Drosophila albomicans
Lineage: Eukaryota; Metazoa; Arthropoda; Insecta; Diptera; Drosophilidae
Exons: 5
Source: RefSeq, a predicted model, not a curated record